AUUGAACGCUGGCGGCAUGCCUUACACAUGCAAGUCGAACGGCAGCACGGGGGCAAUCCUGGUGGCGAGUGGCGAACGGGUGAGUAAUAUAUCGGAACGUGCCCAGUCGUGGGGGAUAACGUAGCGAAAGCUACGCUAAUACCGCAUACGAUCUAUGGAUGAAAGCGGGGGAUCGCAAGACCUCGCGCGAUUGGAGCGGCCGAUAUCAGAUUAGGUAGUUGGUGAGGUAAAGGCUCACCAAGCCGACGAUCUGUAGCUGGUCUGAGAGGACGACCAGCCACACUGGGACUGAGACACGGCCCAGACUCCUACGGGAGGCAGCAGUGGGGAAUUUUGGACAAUGGGCGCAGGCCUGAUCCAGCAAUGCCGCGUGCAGGAUGAAGGCC
Molecule: ribosomal RNA, 386 nt
Filed under: uncultured bacterium
Lineage: Bacteria
Description: bacterial SSU rRNA
Rfam family: Bacterial small subunit ribosomal RNA
Source: RNAcentral